Molecule: long non-coding RNA, 3003 nt
Organism: Sarcophilus harrisii (Tasmanian devil)
Lineage: Eukaryota; Metazoa; Chordata; Mammalia; Dasyuromorphia; Dasyuridae
Source: Ensembl
AAGAAAGAGAGAGAGAAUGUGUGUGUAAAACCUUAUUCUGAACUUUGAGUCCAUUGCCUGUGGAAGUGGAUGGAAGAUUGGUCUUCUGGAAUCAUGGUUGGUCAGUGCAUAGAUUAAAAUUCUAAAUUAUUUGUCUUUACAAUAUUGUUAUUGUUAUAAAAAUUGUUCGCCUGAUUCUACUAAUUUUAUUCUGUAUUAGUUCCAUAAGUCUUUCCAGGUUUCUCUGAAACCAUCCUGCUUUUGAUUUCUUAUAGCAUAAUUAUAUUCUAUUACAUCCAUACACCAUAAUUUGUUCAAUCAUUCCUCAGUGGAUGGGCAUCCCCUUGAAUUCUAGUUCUUUGCCCCUACAAACAGUGCUGCUAUAAAUGUCUUUCUGCAUGUGGAUCCUUUCCGUCUUUCUUUGAUCUUUUUCUUUGGGAUAUAGAGCCAAUAGUAAUAUUGUUGGGUCAAAGGGUGUAUACAACUUGUUGAUAAAACUGUCCAGAUAAGGUAAGGUUUAAAAACAAAAGCACAGCACAUGAGGAUUCCUUAACAAGCUUUACUUUACCUGUUUUGCUUUCUGUCUCCUAGUAAAGUUGCAUUUCCUUUUGAAGUUUCUCUUAUGAUCCAUCAUCAAGUUCCAUCCUGUUUAACAAACCUCAUUUCUUCACCAUUGAACCAUUUUCUAACCCACCACAAUUUUUAUUAUUCCUCUUGUUUAAAAGUGCUAUUGGAGAUUUCCUUUGUAGGUUGAAGGUGAAAAUGGAAUGCUUGAACUUGAAGUUCUUGGAACAAGAAUCCCCUUCUUCAUUUAUUCAUAUGUUGUGAUAAAUAAAAUAACAUUAGGUUCACCAGGAAACCUGGGGAAAAAGCAGGAGUAUUUUAAAUUGUUGGUUACACUUGAGAAGAAUGUAUUCCAUUUUGAAAGUUGUUAGUAAAAAAAUUUGUUAAAAACAAAUACACAAACUAAACAAAAUGUUAGACAACACAAAACCAAGAUUCCAUAUUAAUAAGAAAAAUGCUAAAAAGCAAACAGGUCACAGUGCUGAAAGUUUGUAAAAGCAAUUUCUGAUUUAAGUAGUUCUUCCAUGUUGCAAUAUAACAUUCGUCCUAAGAAAGCUUAAAGAAAAGGAAGAACUACUAAAUGUCCUUAAGAACUGAAGGCAAAAUAAAUAAAGAAGUAGAGACUCAUUUAUCCCUAGUUAAGACUCAUAGCCCCAGGGGAGUGCUGUUGACUUAAUGUCCGUGCUAUCUCUACUCUGGACAUCCUUCUACUCCUACUACCAGAAUCUUAAACUCUCCACAGUGGCUGGAUUCUUGAUAACUUACACCCACCCCAAACUUAAUGCAGUAUUCCAGACAGGACUGAUAGGAUCAAAGUAUGGUGGGCUAUCAUCUCCUUGCUUCUGGAAGGAAUUUCAUUUUAUUACAUUGGACCCAAUAUUCUGCCUGAUGAAGAUGCUUUUAGAACUUGAUUCGCUAAUCCAGUGUGUUAGCCAUCUCUGCAAAUUUGAUGAACAUACCAUCUGUGACUGCUAGAAAUGUGAGAUCAAGAAGAGCACCCUGGGAGCUCCCCACUGGAAGCCUCCGGCCACCAUGUUGACAUUGCACCAUUGACAGCAAGUCUACCAGAGCUGAAUCCAUCUAAUUAUUUUGUUGUCUAAUCUAUAACUCUCCAUUCUUCUCCAGGAAAAUAUCAUGGUAUAUUUCAUCAAACUUUGCUAAAAAUCUGGCUAAAUCCAAUCCAUAAUUUGGCUCUCAUCUGCUGGUUUAGAAAUUUUAUCAAGAAAGGAAAUGAGCAUUUCCUCAUUAGAUUUGGCUGUUUUGAUAAAGUUAGACUGCCUGUUAAUAAUUAUCACUUUCCAAUCCACAUGUUCACCAGAAUUAUCCAUUUUAGAAUUUUCAUCGGAGUCAAAGUGGACUAUAGUUUGCAACUUCAGUUCUUUUAAUAAGCCAGAUGACCCUUUCCUCAAACAUGGCCUGGAUAGCACUUUUAAAAACUGGUGGGUUAGAUGGGGAAGUUCUCUUGUUUGACCACCUCAGUUAAAGGGUCUGUCUCCAUUAGAGUCUUUCUUGUGGAGACAUGUCAGAACUAUCAUGUGUGCAUCAAAAUCUCAUUCAUGGAUGUCCUUAAGGCUAGGAUUACAAAUACAAUCCUUUCAGGCACUGAUUAGCACUGAUAAAAGUUCAAAAAUCAACUAAAAGUGAUAUAUAGCAGACGGUGGUGGGUAUGAUGAAUUUUAAUAAACAGUAGUAUAAUAAAAGUUGAAAUAAUUAUGAUGAAUUUUAAUAAGAAACAACAGUAUUUUAAAAAUUCAAAUAAUCUUUCAAAUAUUGUUUUGUGUAAGUUUGUAGCAUUUAGAUUUUUGAGGCUAUUAAAGCUUAAAACUGCACUAAGACAUUUAGGACACCCAGUAUUUGUCUUUCUCUAAUCUUAUGGUCUACCAUUUUCCAUGAUCUUUCAGAGAUUUACCAAUAGAAGCUUAGCAAUCACAUCUACCGGUUCUUUGGGGAACCAAGCAUAUAAUUCAUUUCAACCAGGUAGUUUGAAUUAAAGGGCAGUUAGGGGAUUUCUUAUUAUCUCCUUUCUUUAUCUUGCACAUCUUUUACUCUGUCUUUUCCAGUAUACAGAUCAUUGUAUUUUUCAUCUAAGAAAAAAUAAAAAAUCAAAACAUAGCUUUUUAAAGUACUGUUUACUUUGUCUACCUGAAAAUUGGUGGAAUCAUAUGAACCAAACUUUCUAGUGUAUACCCAUGCCCUCAACUGUAUCUCUACAUCUCCUUUAGUAGAUGACCUUUUCUCUAUAAUUUAAUUUACAAGAUUAAACCUUAGAUUCCCAGCUCCUUCAUCUCCCUCCUUGAAUAUCUCAAAACCUUUGCCUUCCCCAACCCUCUCCUCAUUCCCUUGGCCAGAGCUUUUUUUCAUCUGAGAUAUUCUCUCUCCUAUGCUCUGGGACUCUUAUUUUAUUAGUCACACUCUUUCACUCUUAAUUUCCAGUGAUUCCUCUCUAUUAAUUCCUCUUCC